Molecule: non-coding RNA, 135 nt
Organism: Paenibacillus sp. FSL R5-0912
Lineage: Bacteria; Bacillati; Bacillota; Bacilli; Caryophanales; Paenibacillaceae
Source: Rfam
GAGGCGGCAUCGCUAUGGCGAGCUGUACUUAAGCAACUGAAUUUUUAUAGAAUUGUUUUACCGGAUUUACCUUCAUAACUGUAUGUAACGGUUACGUUGGAUUCUGCUCUGAGCCGUAAGGACCGAGACAGAAGG